CUUUUCUUGUUUUUUUUUUCCUUUUCUCAAGAAUGGGGUUUUGAUUUUAUUGAGAAAAGAACAGGGUUGGGUUUGUUAUACAACCAAUUGAUUCUCCAAGAAACAUUCGAACUUUCUUGCGUGUAAUUUGACUGUUUUCAAUAGAUAAACUGAAAUUCUUGUACUGUCUUUUCUUUUGGAGAACAAUUUAGAGGAUUCUUGAUGUUUAACUGUCUUUGUCAUACUGAAAACUAGUUAUUGAGAAAAUAAUGGGGUUCUUGAUUUAUCCUAUAAGGCAUGUCCAGUUUUCAAGAAUGGGGUCUUGAUUUUAUUGAGAAAAGAACAGGGUUCGGUCUUUAUACAACUAGUUGAUUCUGCAAGAAACAUGCAAACUUUCUUGCAUGCCAUUUGGCUGUUGUCAAUAGAUAAACUGAAAUUCUUGUAGUGUCGUUUUCUUUUGGGGAACAAUUUAGAGGAUUCUUGAUGUUAUAACUGUCUUUUGGGAAACAAUUCUUGUAGUGUCUGUUAUACAACUAAUUGAUUCUGCAAGAAACAUUCAAACUUUCUUGGGUGCCAUUGGCUGUUAUCAAUAGAUAAACUGAAAUUCUUGUAGUGUCGUUUUCUUUUGGGGAACAAUUUAGAGGAUUCUUGAUGUUCUAAUUGUCUUUAUCAUACUGAAAACCGGUUAUUGAGAAAAGAAUGGGGUUCUUGAUUUAUUCCAUUAGGCAUGUCUUUAUCCUUCCAAGGCAUGUCGUUUUCAAGAAUGCCAUGGGGUCUUGGUUUUUAUUUAGAAAAGAACAGUGUUGGGUUUGUUAUACUACCAAUUGCUUCUGCAAGAAACAUUCGAACUUUCUUGCAUGUCCUUUGGCUGUUGUCAAUCGAUAAACUGAAAUUCUUGCAGUGUUGUUUACUUUGGGGUGACAAUUAUAGGAUUCUUGAUGUUAUAACUGUCUUUAUCAUAUUAAAAGCUGGUUAUCCGAAGUUAACAUGAGUAAUGCGUUAUUGUUAUUGUAUUCAGACUUGGUGAUUUAAGCGGCUCAGCUAUGAUGUAUUUAUGGUUUUUGGGGAAUGCAAGAUGGUGUUGUUCGUGUUAAAGGUCAAUGAUGACAGAUUGCGUACCGCCGGUGAGGCUUCUCAACGGAGUACCAAAGAGGAAUGGGCAGAGUGGAUGAGGCAUUUCAGCAUUGAACUUUUGAAAGAAUCACCCUAUUCCAGCAUUAAGAACUUGCACAAGGCUGGCUAAACUACUACAGCCUUCUUCUCCAAAUAUCCCUCCUGAAAUUCUUGCUACACUUCUGAACUUGGCGGAGUUUAUGGAACAUGCUGAGUGACCCCUCUUCCUUUAGAUAACCCGUCUUCUGGGUGCUCUAGCGGAGAAGUGUCGAGCAUUUGCAAAGGCCCUACACUACAUGGAAAUGGAAUCUGAAGUCGCACUUUCAAAUAGGAGGGAUGCAAAUCCUGUUGCUGUAGUUGAAGCUCUAAUCCAAAUAAAUAAUCAAUUACAUCAACAUGAGGCAACUGUUGGAAUAUUAACAUAUGCUCAGCAGCAUUUGGGGGUUCAGUUGAAGGAGUCACGUUUGGCUAAUUGUAUUUUCCAGGCGGAGUUUAUGGAACAUGAUGAGAGAUCCCCCUUCCUAUAGAUAUCCGUCUGCUGGGUGCUCUAGUG
Long non-coding RNA from Solanum tuberosum (potato), 1645 nucleotides. RefSeq lists it as uncharacterized. Lineage: Eukaryota; Viridiplantae; Streptophyta; Magnoliopsida; Solanales; Solanaceae. The transcript is spliced from 7 exons. The record is from RefSeq and is a predicted model, not a curated record.